AGCGAACGCUGGGGGCAGGCCUAACACAUGCAAGUCGAACGGAUCCUUCGGGAUUAGUGGCGGACGGGUGAGUAACACGUGGGAACGUGCCCUUUGGUUCGGAACAACUCAGGGAAACUUGAGCUAAUACCGGAUGUGCCCUUCGGGGGAAAGAUUUAUCGCCAUUGGAGCGGCCCGCGUCUGAUUAGCUAGUUGGUGAGGUAACGGCCCACCAAGGCGACGAUCAGUAGCUGGUCUGAGAGGAUGAUCAGCCACACUGGGACUGAGACACGGCCCAGACUCCUACGGGAGGCAGCAGUGGGGAAUCUUGCGCAAUGGGCGAAAGCCUGACGCAGCCAUGCCGCGUGAAUGAUGAAGGUCUUAGGAUUGUAAAAUUCUUUCAGCGGGGACGAUAAUGACGGUACCCGCAGAAGAAGCUCCGGCUAACUUCGUG
This 433-nucleotide ribosomal RNA is filed under the name uncultured bacterium. RNAcentral's name for it is "partial 16S ribosomal RNA". It matches the Rfam family "Bacterial small subunit ribosomal RNA", at positions 29 to 507 of the family's 1533-position model. The record is from RNAcentral.